This 72-nucleotide transfer RNA is filed under the name Neotoma lepida (desert woodrat). It matches the Rfam family "tRNA". Rfam says of the family: Transfer RNA (tRNA) molecules are approximately 80 nucleotides in length. Their secondary structure includes four short double-helical elements and three loops (D, anti-codon, and T loops). Lineage: Eukaryota; Metazoa; Chordata; Mammalia; Rodentia; Cricetidae. The record is from Rfam by way of RNAcentral.
GGGGUAUUAGCUCAGUAGUAGAGCACUUAACCAGCAUGGAUGAGGCCCUAGGAUCAAAUCCUUGGUACUUUA